AGAGGGUGCAAGCGUUGUUCGGAUUUACUGGGCGUAAAGGGCGCGUAGGCGUAUUUGUAAGUCAGCUGUGAAAGACCGGGGCUCAACCCCGGAACUGCAGCCGAUACUGCAAGUAUAGAGAUAGUAAGAGGAAAGCGGAAUUCCUAGUGUAGAGGUAAAAUUCACAGAUAUUAGGAGGAACACCAAAGGCGAAGGCAGCUUUCUGGGACAUAUCUGACGUUAAAGCGCGAAAGUGUGGGUAGCAAACAGGAUUAGAUACCCUGGUAGUCCACACCCUAAACGAUGAGUGCUAGGUGUCAGGAAAUUAUUCUUGGUGCCCAAGCUAACGCAUUAAGCACUCCGCCUGGGGAGUACGGUCGCAAGAUUAAAACUUAAAGGAAUUGACGGGGACCCGCACAAGCGGUGGAGCAUGUGGUUUAAUUCGAUGGUACGCGCGGAACCUUACCAGCCUUUGACAUUUAUUUGAAAGGGUAGAGAGAUUUACCCCCUUUGAGCAAUCAAACAGAUAAACAGGUGUUGCAUGGCC
RNAcentral lists this ribosomal RNA (526 nucleotides) under uncultured bacterium. RNAcentral's name for it is "bacterial SSU rRNA". It matches the Rfam family "Bacterial small subunit ribosomal RNA", at positions 527 to 1050 of the family's 1533-position model. The record is from RNAcentral.